GGGAAUACCAAUUUAACACGCACCGUUCGGAGCUAUGCCGAUACCGUCGUCCUUCAAGCCGGCAAUGCCGUGGCUGAGGGAGCCAAGAUCAUCCAGCACCGCAUUGGGUCCGGGAAUUCGAAAAGCUUUAAGAUUACUGUGAAAAGAUUGGAGGAAGUUUCUGUGUCUUGUAGAGGGAUGGAAAGAGUUCAGUUAUUGAGAAGGUGGUUGGUUGCACUAAAAGAGGCUGAGAGAUUAUCUGCAGCUUAUUCUGAGAACAAUGAUAAG
This 267-nucleotide unclassified non-coding RNA is filed under the name Hevea brasiliensis (rubber tree). The record is from RNAcentral. Lineage: Eukaryota; Viridiplantae; Streptophyta; Magnoliopsida; Malpighiales; Euphorbiaceae.